RNAcentral lists this ribosomal RNA (509 nucleotides) under uncultured bacterium. Its description in RNAcentral is "bacterial SSU rRNA". It matches the Rfam family "Bacterial small subunit ribosomal RNA", at positions 501 to 1009 of the family's 1533-position model. The record is from RNAcentral.
CUACGUGCCAGCAGCCGCGGUAAUACGGAGGAUGCGAGCGUUAUCCGGAUUUAUUGGGUUUAAAGGGUGCGUAGGUUGUUCGGUAAGUCAGCGGUGAAACCUGAGCGCUCAACGUUCAGCCUGCCGUUGAAACUGCCGGGCUUGAGUUCAGUGGCGGCAGGCGGAAUUCGUGGUGUAGCGGUGAAAUGCAUAGAUAUCACGAGGAACUCCGAUUGCGAAGGCAGCUUGCCAUACUGCGACUGACACUGAAGCACGAAGGCGUGGGUAUCAAACAGGAUUAGAUACCCUGGUAGUCCACGCAGUAAACGAUGAUUACUAGGAGUUUGCGAUAUACCGUCAAGCUUCCACAGCGAAAGCGUUAAGUAAUCCACCUGGGGAGUACGCCGGCAACGGUGAAACUCAAAGGAAUUGACGGGGGCCCGCACAAGCGGAGGAACAUGUGGUUUAAUUCGAUGAUACGCGAGGAACCUUACCCGGGCUUGAACUAACGGUGACGAAUCUAGAGAUAG